Molecule: regulatory RNA element, 131 nt
Rfam family: FMN riboswitch aptamer (RFN element)
About the family: The RFN element is a highly conserved domain that is found frequently in the 5'-untranslated regions of prokaryotic mRNAs that encode for flavin mononucleotide (FMN) biosynthesis and transport proteins. This element is a metabolite-dependent riboswitch that directly binds FMN in the absence of proteins. In Bacillus subtilis, the riboswitch most likely controls gene expression by causing premature transcription termination within the 5' untranslated region of the ribDEAHT operon and precluding access to the ribosome-binding site of ypaA mRNA.
Source: Rfam
UCGCGCACUCCGGGGUCGGUGUAAUUCCGAACCGGCGGUUAUAGUCCGCGACCCGGCCGCAGCCAGCGGCCGGUUGACCAGGUGGAAUUCCUGGACCGACGGUGAAAGUCCGGAUGGGAGGCAGUGCGCGG